RNAcentral lists this unclassified non-coding RNA (241 nucleotides) under plant metagenome. RNAcentral describes it as "partial contains small subunit ribosomal RNA and internal transcribed spacer 1". The record is from RNAcentral.
AAUGUCGUAACUAGGUUUCCCGUAGGUGAACCUGCGGAAGGAUCAUUAAAUGAGAAAUUGAAGUUUCGGCUUCUGGGGCUUCGGCCUCAAGCUCUAUACCCUAUGUUUACAAUUACCUCUGUUGCUUUGGCGAAUCUUGAAUACUCUUCACGCCGUCGUUUGUCGGCGAGUGUUCGCCAAAUGACUUUUGAAAAUUUAUUUUUAUGCGUCUGAGUAAAAAACCAUACAAUAAAUUUAAAAG